GUAGCAGGACGCUUGUGUCGCUUGCCGAUGGAGGUUGAUCUCCGGAGCGGCAAGAGGAAAGUCCGGGCAACACAGAGCACCAUACUUUCUAACAGUGAGCUGUCGGUGACGGCAGAGUAACGUGACAGAAAAUAACAGCCCGCUCCCUUUUCAAAGAGAGUCAGGCAAUGGUGAAAAGGUGGGGUAAGAGCCCACCGGGUGUCGUGGCGACACGGCAUGCCGCACGUCUUAUGGGUUGCAAGGCCAUGUAUACCGGCACGUUGACCGGCUGUGUAAUAAUAGCGUCAACAAUGGGUUGCUCGUCCAUCG
RNAcentral lists this RNase P RNA (309 nucleotides) under Duncaniella sp. Its description in RNAcentral is "partial RNase P RNA component class A". It matches the Rfam family "Bacterial RNase P class A", at positions 1 to 263 of the family's 367-position model. Rfam says of the family: Ribonuclease P (RNase P) is a ubiquitous endoribonuclease, found in archaea, bacteria and eukarya as well as chloroplasts and mitochondria. The record is from RNAcentral. Lineage: Bacteria; Pseudomonadati; Bacteroidota; Bacteroidia; Bacteroidales; Muribaculaceae.